UGAUCUGAUUUUUAUUUUGUAGAGAUCAAUCUGUGCUAUGUGGAGAACUGACUGCUACUUGGAAGAGUGAAGAUAGAAGGUGGAUGGUGGUCCUGGUGAACGACGUCUUCAACCUCAGGGAACUCUAUUAGGAGGAGAGGAAAAAUAUAUGAGGAUUCUUUACUGCUGGUACCACACAGCAAGCCCAAAACAAUGAGAAUCUGCUCUGACUAAAAUUAACAACCAGGCACAAGCUGCCACUGCUGGCUCCCCAGCUCCUGAGGUUAACAAAUACACAUGGAGUAUGUGCAUCAUACUCCAUAGGCUUGGUGGCAGGAACAAUGGAAGAUACAAGGGUGACUAAGGCCACUGUGGAAACUUCUCUCAAAGAGCCACCUGCUUAGUGCACGAAGGCAACUGCACACAUCACUUGCUACAGCCUAACAUACUAGGAGAUCAUCAGCAUCAUAAAGUCUUAGUGGAACAAAAACCAGG
Molecule: long non-coding RNA, 474 nt
Filed under: Capra hircus (goat)
Lineage: Eukaryota; Metazoa; Chordata; Mammalia; Artiodactyla; Bovidae
Description: lncRNA (ENSCHIG00000004687.1)
Source: RNAcentral